GUGCUUGCUUUGGCAGCACAUAUACUAAAAUUCAAACGAUAUAGAGAAAAUUAAUGUGGUCCUGUUGCAAGGAUGA
Molecule: small nuclear RNA, 76 nt
Filed under: Piliocolobus tephrosceles (Ugandan red Colobus)
Lineage: Eukaryota; Metazoa; Chordata; Mammalia; Primates; Cercopithecidae
Source: RNAcentral